CCUACGGGUGGCUGCAGUGGGGAAUAUUGGACAAUGGGGGCAACCCUGAUCCAGCAAUGCCGCGUGGAUGAAGAAGGUCUUCGGAUUGUAAAGUCCUUUCGGCGGGGACGAUGAUGACGGUACCCGCAGAAGAAGCCCCGGCUAACUUCGUGCCAGCAGCCGCGGUAAUACGAAGGGGGCUAGCGUUGCUCGGAAUGACUGGGCGUAAAGGGCGCGUAGGCGGUUUGAUCAGUUAGGUGUGAAAUUCCUGGGCUUAACCUGGGGGCUGCACUUAAUACGGUCAGACUUGAGUGUGAAAGAGGGUCGUGGAAUUCCCAGUGUAGAGGUGAAAUUCGUAGAUAUUGGGAAGAACACCGGUGGCGAAGGCGGCGACCUGGUUCAUUACUGACGCUGAGGCGCGAAAGCGUGGGGAGCAAACAGGAUUAGAUACCCCAGUAGUC
This 440-nucleotide ribosomal RNA is filed under the name uncultured Acetobacteraceae bacterium. RNAcentral describes it as "bacterial SSU rRNA". It matches the Rfam family "Bacterial small subunit ribosomal RNA", at positions 338 to 795 of the family's 1533-position model. The record is from RNAcentral. Lineage: Bacteria; Pseudomonadati; Pseudomonadota; Alphaproteobacteria; Acetobacterales; Acetobacteraceae.